ACAGUCCUUCGGGUCUGUGGUGAGUGGCGAACGGGUGAGUAACACGUGAGCAACCUACCCUUGACACUGGAAUAACAGUUGGAAACAGCUGCUAAUACCGGAUACGACCUUCGAUGGCAUCAUCUGGAGGUGGAAAGCUCCGACGGUCAAGGAUGGGCUCGCGGCCUAUCAGCUUGUUGGUGAGGUAACGGCUCACCAAGGCUUCGACGGGUAGCCGGCCUGAGAGGGCGACCGGCCACACUGGGACUGAGAUACGGCCCAGACUCCUACGGGAGGCAGCAGUGGGGAAUAUUGCACAAUGGGCGAAAGCCUGAUGCAGCAACGCCGCGUGCGGGAUGACGGCCUUCGGG
Molecule: ribosomal RNA, 350 nt
Filed under: uncultured bacterium
Lineage: Bacteria
Description: bacterial SSU rRNA
Rfam family: Bacterial small subunit ribosomal RNA
Source: RNAcentral